This 467-nucleotide ribosomal RNA is filed under the name uncultured bacterium. RNAcentral's name for it is "partial 16S ribosomal RNA". It matches the Rfam family "Bacterial small subunit ribosomal RNA", at positions 28 to 507 of the family's 1533-position model. The record is from RNAcentral.
GAUGAACGCUGGCGGCGUGCUUAACACAUGCAAGUCGAACGGAAAGGCCUCUGCUUGCAGGGGUACUCGAGUGGCGAACGGGUGAGUAACACGUGGGCGAUCUGCCCUGCACUUCGGGAUAAGCCAGGGAAACUGGGUCUAAUACCGGAUAGGACAAUGGUUUGGAUGCUGUGGUGGAAAGUUUUUCGGUGUGGGAUGAGCUCGCGGCCUAUCAGCUUGUUGGUGGGGUAAUGGCCUACCAAGGCGUCGACGGGUAGCCGGCCUGAGAGGGUGUACGGCCACUUUGCGACUCUGAUACGGACCCGAGGCCUACACGAGGCAGCAAGGGAGAAUAUUGCACAAUGGGCGCAAGCCUGAUACAGCGACGCCGCGUGGCGGAGGACGGCCUUCAGGUUGUAGACUCCUUUCACUCUUUACGAGGCGUUUUUAUUACGGUUCCUGGAGAAGGAGCCCCGGCUUACUACGUG